Molecule: small nucleolar RNA, 69 nt
Organism: Gasterosteus aculeatus aculeatus (three-spined stickleback)
Lineage: Eukaryota; Metazoa; Chordata; Actinopteri; Perciformes; Gasterosteidae
Gene: SNORD24
Rfam family: Small nucleolar RNA SNORD24
About the family: U24 is a member of the C/D class of snoRNA which contain the C (UGAUGA) and D (CUGA) box motifs. C/D box snoRNAs have been shown to act as methylation guides for a number of RNA targets.
Source: Ensembl
CGCAAAUGAUGUGAAAGAAUAUUUGCUAACUGAGCAGCUGUGCUGACAACCACCAAGAUCACUGAUGCC